AUAAUAUUAUUUCACAAUUCACAGGUAAAGUGUUUUGCGCGUCGUGCAGUUCAAACUCCAUCCCACUGCCCCGGUACGGUCAGAUGAAGCCGGUUCGUGUCUGUGAAGAGUGUUACCAGAGUACACGACGCCAUCGGUGAGACACAGGUUAAUGCCACACAGGUUAACGCCACACAGGUUAACGCAACAAAGGUUAACGUAACACAGGUUAUAAUGCCAGUAACACAACGAUUCAACUAUAGGUUAAAUAGAGUACUACAAUCAAACAAAUUUAAAAGAAUAUAUAGAGUAAGCAUAGUUGACUCUUCACUCGAGACUUUUUUUACAUAAACAUACUAUUGUCAGCCUCGAAACCACACGUCAAUAUAGUUAAUUGUAUUUAAAUUAAUUUUCAAUAGGCUGAAUCAUACUAAAAUAUUUUGUGACACUGUUUAGUUUUUUUUAUAACAAUAGAUGGAGCUUAAUGUAUUUUUUAAAAUUGGCAAUACACGCCAACGACACGAGAUGGCAUACUAAAUUUGACAACUGAUUUGUUACCUGUCAGAGAAAUUACCGAUAAAAAAUGUUCACUAUGCCUAGUCUAUAUCUCUUAAAUGUCUGACUACAAUGUGGAGCAACUUGAGUAAAGUUAUAAGUUACUGGUGUAAAGGCAG
Papilio polytes (common Mormon) is the source of this 653-nucleotide long non-coding RNA. RefSeq lists it as uncharacterized. Lineage: Eukaryota; Metazoa; Arthropoda; Insecta; Lepidoptera; Papilionidae. The record is from RefSeq and is a predicted model, not a curated record. The transcript is spliced from 2 exons.